ACUAACCAGUCCUGCCUCUUGCAUUUUCUUCAGUAGUAUUUUGCUUUGUCGGGUAGCUCAGAACUGCCAAAAUCUGUAUGAGAGAACUAAAGCUACAUUUAUCUGGAACCACACCACAACUAAAAAUGCUAUCAAACAAGUCACAUGCUUUAUCAUAAUUCUUUACUAAACCAUAUGCUUUGAUCGUCACAUUGAAGUCCAGG
Molecule: unclassified non-coding RNA, 203 nt
Filed under: Hevea brasiliensis (rubber tree)
Lineage: Eukaryota; Viridiplantae; Streptophyta; Magnoliopsida; Malpighiales; Euphorbiaceae
Source: RNAcentral